GGCGGUUCUUGGGUGAUGCACCCCGGAAUUGGGCUCCCUCCUCUCUGGUUCUGGGUGUGUCACCCAAGAACCGUA
Molecule: non-coding RNA, 75 nt
Organism: Myotis lucifugus (little brown bat)
Lineage: Eukaryota; Metazoa; Chordata; Mammalia; Chiroptera; Vespertilionidae
Source: Rfam